AAAGGCCCUGCUUUUGUGGGGUGCUCGAGUGGCGAACGGGUGAGUAACACGUGAGUAACCUGCCCUUGACUUUGGGAUAACUUCAGGAAACUGGGGCUAAUACCGGAUAGGAGCUCCUGCUGCAUGGUGGGGGUUGGAAAGUUUCGGCGGUUGGGGAUGGACUCGCGGCUUAUCAGCUUGUUGGUGGGGUAGUGGCUUACCAAGGCUUUGACGGGUAGCCGGCCUGAGAGGGUGACCGGCCACAUUGGGACUGAGAUACGGCCCAGACUCCUACGGGAGGCAGCAGUGGGGAAUAUUGCACAAUGGGCGGAAGCCUGAUGCAGCAACGCCGCGUGCGGGAUGACGGCCUUCGGGUUGUAAACCGCUUUCGCCUGUGACGAAGCGUGAGUGACGGUAAUGGGUAAAGAAGCACCGGCUAACUACGUGCCAGCAGCCGCGGUGAUACGUAGGGUGCGAGCGUUGUCCGGAUUUAUUGGGCGUAAAGGGCUCGUAGGUGGUUGAUCGCGUCGGAAGUGUAAUCUUGGGGCUUAACCCUGAGCGUGCUUUCGAUACGGGUUGACUUGAGGAAGGUAGGGGAGAAUGGAAUUCCUGGUGGAGCGGUGGAAUGCGCAGAUAUCAGGAGGAACACCAGUGGCGAAGGCGGUUCUCUGGGCCUUUCCUGACGCUGAGGAGCGAAAGCGUGGGGAGCGAACAGGCUUAGAUACCCUGGUAGUCCACGCUGUAAACGGUGGGUACUAGGUGUGGGGUCCAUUCCACGGGUUCCGUGCCGUAGCUAACGCUUUAAGUACCCCGCCUGGGGAGUACGGCCGCA
Molecule: ribosomal RNA, 811 nt
Filed under: uncultured Propionibacterium sp.
Lineage: Bacteria; Bacillati; Actinomycetota; Actinomycetes; Propionibacteriales; Propionibacteriaceae
Description: bacterial SSU rRNA
Rfam family: Bacterial small subunit ribosomal RNA
Source: RNAcentral